This 497-nucleotide ribosomal RNA is filed under the name uncultured bacterium. Its description in RNAcentral is "partial 16S ribosomal RNA". It matches the Rfam family "Bacterial small subunit ribosomal RNA", at positions 28 to 507 of the family's 1533-position model. The record is from RNAcentral.
GAUGAACGCUGGCGGCGUGCCUAAUACAUGCAAGUCGAGCGAACAGACGAGGAGCUUGCUCCUCUGACGUUAGCGGCGGACGGGUGAGUAACACGUGGAUAACCUACCUAUAAGACUGGGAUAACUUCGGGAAACCGGAGCUAAUACCGGAUAAUAUAUUGAACCGCAUGGUUCAAUAGUGAAAGACGGUUUUGCUGUCACUUAUAGAUGGAUCCGCGCCGCAUUAGCUAGUUGGUAAGGUAACGGCUUACCAAGGCAACGAUGCGUAGCCGACCUGAGAGGGUGAUCGGCCACACUGGAACUGAGACACGGUCCGGACUCCUACGGGAGGCAGCAGUAGGGAAUCUUCCGCAAUGGACGAAAGCCUGACGGAGCAACGCCGCGUGAGUGAUGAAGGUCUUCGGAUCGUAAAACUCUGUUAUUAGGGAAGAACAAAUGUGUAAGUAACUAUGCACGUCUUGACGGUACCCAAUCAGAAAGCCACGGCUAACUACGUG